RNAcentral lists this unclassified non-coding RNA (20 nucleotides) under Mus musculus (house mouse). RNAcentral's name for it is "oocyte_clustered_small_RNA286". The record is from RNAcentral. Lineage: Eukaryota; Metazoa; Chordata; Mammalia; Rodentia; Muridae.
UGUCUGCCUUUCUACCACCA